Molecule: ribosomal RNA, 466 nt
Filed under: uncultured bacterium
Lineage: Bacteria
Description: partial 16S ribosomal RNA
Rfam family: Bacterial small subunit ribosomal RNA
Source: RNAcentral
CUACGGGCGGCAGCAGUGAGGAAUUUUGCGCAAUGGGGGGAACCCUGACGCAGCAACGCCGCGUGAGUGAUGAAGGCUUUCGGGUCGUAAAGCUCUGUCAAGUGGGAAGAACCUAUGCAGUGUUAAUAUCACUGUAUACUGACGGUACCACUGAAGGAAGCACCGGCUAACUCCGUGCCAGCAGCCGCGGUAAUACGGGGGGGUGCAAGCGUUAUUCGGAAUCAUUGGGCGUAAAGGGCACGUAGGCGGCUUGGUAAGUCAGAUGUGAAAGCCCGGGGCUUAACCCCGGAAGUGCAUUUGAUACUGUCCGGCUUGAGUAUGGGAGAGGGAAGUGGAAUUCCUGGUGUAGAGGUGAAAUUCGUAGAUAUCAGGAGGAACACCGGUGGCGAAGGCGACUUCCUGGACCAAUACUGACGCUGAGGUGCGAAGGCGUGGGUAGCAAACAGGAUUAGAUACCCCCGUAGUC